UACGGAAGGUCCGGGCGUUAUCCGGAUUUAUUGGGUUUAAAGGGAGCGUAGGCCGGAGGUUAAGCGUGUUGUGAAAUGUAGAUGCUCAACAUCUGAACUGCAGCGCGAACUGGUUUCCUUGAGUACGCACAAAGUGGGCGGAAUUCGUGGUGUAGCGGUGAAAUGCUUAGAUAUCACGAAGAACUCCGAUUGCGAAGGCAGCUCACUGGAGCGCAACUGACGCUGAAGCUCGAAAGUGCGGGUAUCGAACAGG
Molecule: ribosomal RNA, 253 nt
Filed under: Segatella copri DSM 18205
Lineage: Bacteria; Pseudomonadati; Bacteroidota; Bacteroidia; Bacteroidales; Prevotellaceae
Description: Prevotella copri DSM 18205 partial 16S ribosomal RNA
Rfam family: Bacterial small subunit ribosomal RNA
Source: RNAcentral